This 401-nucleotide unclassified non-coding RNA is filed under the name Hevea brasiliensis (rubber tree). Lineage: Eukaryota; Viridiplantae; Streptophyta; Magnoliopsida; Malpighiales; Euphorbiaceae. The record is from RNAcentral.
ACAAAGAGUAGGGGUACAAAGCAUCUAUUCUAGAAAAGGCACAAUCACUGGCAGUAAUAAUAAAGCUGCCCCCAUAUCCUACAGCAAUGCAAUCAUAUAAGAGGCUGUAUCUACAUUGAUCAGUACAAACAUACGACAGUAUCUAUUAAUAUCCAAAUAGAUAGACUUUGCACAUUGAAGGUAAAGAAUAAUCACAAAACCCUUAUCAAAUCCAGGAAAAAGGCACUAAGCAAAACUUAAGAUGAAGAUUCAGAAUUCAUAAAAUCAGAGCAACAUAGACAGCACUAACACAGAAUCCAAAUUUGUCCAAAGCAAAAUUGAUGAUUAAUCAAUUGUGGAUGCAUUUCUCAUUGGCUAUACAACUUUUAAGGGAGACUUAGAGGACAAAGAUUGAAUCAGAA